UUUCCCUACCCCAACUAACUCUUUUGGUAGUGAAUACUUUGUUUAAAAUAUUUGUCAGAGGAGAUCCAUGUUAUCCAUUUAUGAGUACAUUGCAGACCAAUUAACUGACAUGUUUCAGGAAAAUUUUUUGUAGUUGAAUAAGUAAACAAAAAGCAUUUGAAGAUCAUACUGUUUUCAUCCUUGUCCAUGGAAUUUGUGUUUUGUCUUUGCCUUUUUUGAUGUCAAAAUAGAGGAGAUUGUUUGCAUCUAUAGAGAAUAAGUUGUAACGAUAGUCUUUAUUUUUGGUAAUGAAUAAGUAAGGUUAAAACUGUCUCUAUGAUUAUAAAAACUCAUGGAAUUAUCCAGGAAACUUUCAUUGCAAAGAAUUAAAAAGUUUCUAUAUUU
Molecule: long non-coding RNA, 384 nt
Filed under: Bos taurus (domestic cattle)
Lineage: Eukaryota; Metazoa; Chordata; Mammalia; Artiodactyla; Bovidae
Description: long non-coding RNA NONBTAT011646
Source: RNAcentral